UACGGAGGGUGCUAGCGUUGUUCGGAAUUACUGGGCGUAAAGCGCGCGUAGGCGGCUUUGCAAGUUAGAGGUGAAAGCCCGGGGCUCAACUCCGGAAUUGCCUUUAAAACUGCAUCGCUAGAAUUGUGGAGAGGUAAGUGGAAUUCCGAGUGUAGAGGUGAAAUUCGUAGAUAUUCGCAAGAACACCAGUGGCGAAGGCGGCUCACUGGCCCGGUACUGACGCUGAGGUGCGAAAGCGUGGGGAGCAAACAGG
This 253-nucleotide ribosomal RNA is filed under the name uncultured bacterium. RNAcentral's name for it is "partial 16S ribosomal RNA". It matches the Rfam family "Bacterial small subunit ribosomal RNA", at positions 524 to 776 of the family's 1533-position model. The record is from RNAcentral.